This 432-nucleotide ribosomal RNA is filed under the name uncultured bacterium. RNAcentral describes it as "partial 16S ribosomal RNA". It matches the Rfam family "Bacterial small subunit ribosomal RNA", at positions 29 to 506 of the family's 1533-position model. The record is from RNAcentral.
AGCGAACGCUGGCGGCAGGCCUAACACAUGCAAGUCGAACGAACUCUUCGGAGUUAGUGGCGGACGGGUGAGUAACACGUGGGAACGUGCCUUUUGGUUCGGAAUAACUCAGGGAAACUUGUGCUAAUACCGAAUGUGCCCUUCGGGGGAAAGAUUUAUCGCCAUUAGAGCGGCCCGCGUCUGAUUAGCUAGUUGGUGAGGUAACGGCUCACCAAGGCGACGAUCAGUAGCUGGUCUGAGAGGAUGACCAGCCACACUGGGACUGAGACACGGCCCAGACUCCUACGGGAGGCAGCAGUGGGGAAUCUUGCGCAAUGGGCGAAAGCCUGACGCAGCCAUGCCGCGUGAAUGAUGAAGGUCUUAGGAUGGUAAAAUUCUUUCACCGGGGACGAUAAUGACGGUACCCGGAGAAGAAGCCCCGGCUAACUUCGU